AUGCUUCGGCAGCACAUCUACUAAAAUUGGGGCAAUACAGAGAAGAUUAGCACGGCCCCUGCGCAAGGGUGACAUGCACAUUCAUGAAGCAUUCCGUAUUUAA
This is a small nuclear RNA of Ailuropoda melanoleuca (giant panda), 103 nucleotides long. The record is from Ensembl. NCBI's taxonomy places the organism in Eukaryota, Metazoa, Chordata, Mammalia, Carnivora, Ursidae.